UACGUAGGGUGCAAGCGUUAAUCGGAAUUACUGGGCGUAAAGCGUGCGCAGGCGGAUGAUUAAGUUAGGAGUGAAAUCCCCGGGCUCAACCUGGGAACUGCUUUUAAGACUGGUCAUCUAGAGUUUGUCAGAGGGGGGUGGAAUUCCAAGUGUAGCAGUGAAAUGCGUAGAGAUUUGGAGGAACACCGAUGGCGAAGGCAGCCCCCUGGGAUAAAACUGACGCUCAUGCACGAAAGCGUGGGUAGCAAACAGG
Molecule: ribosomal RNA, 253 nt
Filed under: uncultured bacterium
Lineage: Bacteria
Description: partial 16S ribosomal RNA
Rfam family: Bacterial small subunit ribosomal RNA
Source: RNAcentral